GAUGAAGAACGUAGCGAAAUGCGAUAAGUAAUGUGAAUUGCAGCAUUCAGUGAAUCAUCGAAUCUUUGAACGCACAUUGCGCCCGCCAGUAUUCUGGCGGGCAUGCCUGUUCGAGCGUCAUUACAACCCUCAAGCUCAGCUUGGUGUUGGGCCCCGCCGCCCCGGCGGGCCCUAAAGUCAGUGGCGGUGCCGUCCGGCUCCGAGCGUAGUAAUUCUUCUCGCUCUGGAGGUCCGGUCGUGUGCUCGCCAGCAACCCCCAAUUUUUUUCAGGUUGACCUCGGAUCAGGUAGGGAUACCCGCUGAACUUAAGCAUAUCAAUAAGCGGAGGA
Molecule: unclassified non-coding RNA, 329 nt
Filed under: soil metagenome
Description: partial contains 5.8S ribosomal RNA, internal transcribed spacer 2, and large subunit ribosomal RNA
Rfam family: 5.8S ribosomal RNA (bases 1-120)
Source: RNAcentral